Molecule: long non-coding RNA, 1859 nt
Organism: Antechinus flavipes (yellow-footed antechinus)
Lineage: Eukaryota; Metazoa; Chordata; Mammalia; Dasyuromorphia; Dasyuridae
Exons: 5
Source: RefSeq, a predicted model, not a curated record
CUAAGUGUUCACCUUUAGGAACUGUCCAAGGCUCACAGGGGAUCAGACAUCCCUGGGGGGCUCUAGGAGCCCCUAGGGGCUUGCCACAGCUGAGUGCCGCCCAGUGAUGGACUUAAAUUCUGAUAAUACAGAUCACUCUCCAGCCGUUGUCGUGACUAUAGAGCCCACAGAUCAUCAUUCAACAAGGAAUGUAGCCUUUGACCUCACCAACUACCAGUCAGCAAUGGAAGUAACGAGUGACCCCUUAGAACAUCUUCUGAAGGCUAUACCUUCUGAUCUCUCUACCUGUUCCUCCAGCUGUUAUAUCUCCAGCCCUAGUUCUGCAGUGGAUUUAAGUACCGAUAUUUCAUCCUCCUCAUCUGCCAUGGAUAUAGCCACAGAACCCAUAGACAAUCAUUUCACCAUAUUGCUACCCUCUACGUCCCAGCCCUCACUGAUGGUUAUAGAGCAAAGCAUUGAUCCCACAACCCUUUACUUAAAGUUUGAUACAACUGAGGUCACGCCUCGGGACUCAGACAUGGAUGUAAAUGAGAUUGCAGGCCACUGCUCAGUCAUGGAUGUAACUAGCAGCACCAACCUACGGAAGAAUUAGAGAAGAGCUCAGGAUCUCUGAUCUCGGACCUGAGAAGAAAGUGAACAUGAAUAACAGAGAGAAAAAGAGAGAGAGGAAGGACUGGGGCUUGGCCAGUGGCCACGAUGAGGAAGCUGGGGCAGACACAGGUACAGGAUCACAUAGCCAGUCUGGGACCAGAUUCCUGGUUUCUGAUGUACCUUAUCAACUACACCAUACUGCUCCUUGACUGAGUGACAAGAUCGCUAAAGACUUCACUAACAGGACUCCAAGUAAUUGUCUACAAAGUUGCUGCAGUUCUUUGCACCAAUGAUGGGUGGCAGAGGGUGCUACUGGAUACCAAGGGAAGAAGGAAGCAGUAACAUCUGGAAUGGUGUCUUAUGGUUGGGAUGCUUGAAGCUGAAGCUGUCUCCUCUUCUGAACAUCCAAAGUCUUCUGCCCACCUGUAACCCAAACUCCUCUCCUCCUUCUUGCUCCAUAGAAGGAUCCUUUGCCAGUGUGUCUCUUCUGUGACUCAGAAAAGAAUGGGAAAUCUUUCUUUCCCAUUUUUCCUCCCACCUUGCAGACUUCAGAAGCCACAGGGAGGAAUGUCCAUCAUACUAGCUGCCAAGUCCAUGGAUUUUCAGCCUCUUCUGGAGAGAGAGAAGCUAGGUUCUGGGUGGCCAAGCGGCAGAGAACGACCUCCAACAUAAUGGAAUAGAGUCAUAUGUUGGCCUUGGGUACAGGACUUGGUUUAUGAAGUCUAGAGUGCUUCAUUAACAGGGGAAUGGUAAUUAGUCGGCUUGUUAUGAAAAAGCAAAGGGGUGCCAAAGUUUGCAGGGGGGGAAUCUCACUGCUGAUCCAUUGAGAAUAUAGGAACUCAGACUCAGGGGUCUCCUUGAAGGCAUUCCACAGGUAUGGGGAAGGCUCCCAUCUGUCCAGUUGGCCAUUUGGCUUUUUUCCGAAACCAGCAAAGCACAUUUAAUGGGGGGAGGAAAAAAGGGGGGCUGCUAUUUUGUCUCAGUAAUCCUGUUACACAAAUCAACAUUCCAAUCCACCCACAUGCUUUAAAACUUCCUGGUUAUAAUAAGAACCAUCUCUAAGUUCUCGGACAUUCACGGAGGGGCUUGGUGACGGCUAAGCCUAGAGGCUUGGAGUGGAGCACAAGGGCAUGGGGACAGAGCAGAAGUUUGGAAAUUCUGAUUGCCUGGGUUCCUGAUGUGGUGCCUUGUCAGCUGUUCAUACUUAGGAAAGAGCCCUAGCAGUCAAGUGAUGGUUCCUCCUUCAAUUAAACUCAAAUCCACAAGCA